This 867-nucleotide long non-coding RNA is filed under the name Medicago truncatula (barrel medic). RNAcentral describes it as "long non-coding RNA (MTRU_LNC005983)". Lineage: Eukaryota; Viridiplantae; Streptophyta; Magnoliopsida; Fabales; Fabaceae. The record is from RNAcentral.
UUCUUCCAAAAUACAGAUUCAAAGAAACACAACAUAACACACAAAUUACAACAACCUUCAAGAAAAAUUCACCACCAUCAUCUCAUCACUACACAUAAACAACAACCAUCAUCACCAACAUCAUCUCAUCACUAACUCCAACAAAAUAAAAAAAUUCCAACAAAAUCAAAAGGAAACUUUUUCAAAAUCAAACUGAAACAAACAACAAGAAAAUAAAAUUCAUCACAAAAACAUUUCUUGAACAAAGCAUGAAAUGUUGAUGAAGAGAGACAGCGCCCAUAAAACAUAAUGAAAAAAAAAAACCUUAAACGUCUGCAAAUAAAGAGAUGAAUGUGACUGGAUACGUGGCGGCGCCGAUGGUUUAACAUGACCCAUAUGUCAAGGCUGGUUUAAUGUACAUCAUUAAGUGUCAUGAUCCAUUUUCAUCAUUUAAUUUUCUGGUAAUUUAAAGUAACGUUGAAGCAUACCCAUAUGUUUGUUUUCUUCAAACUCAGACCCAUUUGGUUUGUUGGAGUUUUUAUGGUACAAUAGUAAGAAUGGGAGGUUACAUGUUUUUUGGUUGAAAUUGGAACUCGGUUUUGAUUGAUUUUUCAGUUUUUGGAAUGUGAUUUGAAUUGAGUGUUUUUAUAUUUUGUGACUUUGUGUUUGUUGUUGUUGUACGAACACAGGGAGAUGUUAGAUCUGCGGGAGUGAGGGAAAUUAAAUUGAAGUGAAAAAUCAUAGAAACAACUGGAUUUUUGUUCCGUUGAUGAUGUUUGUUGAUGUGGAAUUGUUGCAGAAUAGUUGUUGUUUUGAUUUUGAAAAUGGUGUUGAAUUGGUGCAGAAUUGAUUUUUUAUUUUAUUUUAUGAAUGUUAGUGAAGAUGGUA